Molecule: ribosomal RNA, 253 nt
Filed under: uncultured bacterium
Lineage: Bacteria
Description: partial 16S ribosomal RNA
Rfam family: Bacterial small subunit ribosomal RNA
Source: RNAcentral
UACGGGGGGGGUAAGCGUUGUUCGGAAUUACUGGGCGUAAAGGGCGCGUAGGCGGUUCGUUAAGUCCUGUGUGAAAUCCCCCGGCUCAACUGGGGAACUGCACAGGAAACUAGCGGGCUUGAGUUCGGGAGAGGGAAGCGGAAUUCCGGGUGUAGCGGUGAAAUGCGUAGAUAUCCGGAGGAACACCGGUGGCGAAGGCGGCUUCCUGGACCGACACUGACGCUGAGGCGCGAAAGCUAGGGGAGCAAACGGG